GUCUAUGGCCAUGCCACCCUGAACAAGCUCGAUCCCAUCUGAUCUCGGAAGCUAAGCAGAGUCGGACCUGGUUAGUACUUGGAUGGGAGACCACGUAGGAAGACCAGGGCUGUAGGCA
RNAcentral lists this ribosomal RNA (118 nucleotides) under Pteropus alecto (black flying fox). Lineage: Eukaryota; Metazoa; Chordata; Mammalia; Chiroptera; Pteropodidae. The record is from RNAcentral.